Molecule: long non-coding RNA, 292 nt
Organism: Papilio xuthus (Asian swallowtail)
Lineage: Eukaryota; Metazoa; Arthropoda; Insecta; Lepidoptera; Papilionidae
Exons: 2
Source: RefSeq, a predicted model, not a curated record
CUGAUUUUAUAACUCUCCGUCAAAGUCAAAAUUAAUUCGUGCUGUUUUAGUGAUUUGAAAGCAAAAUUUUAGUAAAUUCAACUAAAUUAAAACAAGUAAAUAUAAAAAUGUGUUGGCUUGCGUGGGCAGUAGCUCUAACUAUGUUUUCCUACAUGUUUGCAAAACCCUAAAUAAAAUAAACUCUAAACACACUGCAAAACAGAUAAUUCUUUUGGAUAAAGAAGAAUUAUUACGAAUAUAUAUCAAACAAUUAAAAUGUUAAAUUGAAAUAAACACUACCUUGAUCUUAUUG